Long non-coding RNA from Oreochromis aureus, 474 nucleotides. NCBI's taxonomy places the organism in Eukaryota, Metazoa, Chordata, Actinopteri, Cichliformes, Cichlidae. The record is from Ensembl.
GGGGGAUAUCUGUGUGUGCAGGUGACUAUUACUGUGCAUAAUUAUUAGGCAACUUAACGAAAAACAAAUAUAUACCCAUUUCAAUGAUUUAUUUUUCCCAGUGAAACCAAUAUAACAUCUCCACAUUCACAAAUAUACAUUUCUGACAUUCAAAAACCAAACAAAAACAAAUCAGCGACCAAUAUAGCCACCUUUCUUUGCAAGGACACUCAAAAGCCUGCCAUCCAUGGAUUCUGUCAGUGUUUUGAUCUGUUCACCAUUAACAUUGCGUGCAGCAGCAACCACAGCCUCCCAGACACUGUUCAGAGAGGUGUACUGUUUUCCCUCCUUGUAAAUCUCACAUUUGAUGAUGGACCACAGGUUCUCAAUGGGGUUCAGAUCAGGUGAACAAGGAGGCCAUGUCAUUAGUUUUUCUUCUUUUAUACCCUUUCUUGCCAGCCACGCUGUGGAGUACUUGGACGCGUGUGAUGGAGC